UGGACCUGAGCCAUCAGCAGCUGAACGUGGACGGGGCGAGACUUAAGAAGUGGCAAGAGGAAGAUGCUGCACAAUUCACCUCGGUCAUGUGACUAUGCUGAACUACAAAAGUGUCUGAGAAAUAUGUGCCAGAGUUCAGUCUCCAUUGCUGUUCCUGAAGUCUUUUCUUGGUGACUUUGAAAUAUCACCACUGUACAAAGCAUUAGUUAAGUGUUCAGAUGGGCUAACUGAGGCAACAAAACAGACAAGCAAAAUGAAUCCUUAAUGAAACAUCACAACAUAUUGAAUAAAUAUGAGAGAAAUUAAAUACAAA
Long non-coding RNA from Mastomys coucha (southern multimammate mouse), 313 nucleotides. RefSeq lists it as uncharacterized. The transcript is spliced from 2 exons. The record is from RefSeq and is a predicted model, not a curated record. Lineage: Eukaryota; Metazoa; Chordata; Mammalia; Rodentia; Muridae.